This 451-nucleotide ribosomal RNA is filed under the name uncultured bacterium. RNAcentral's name for it is "partial 16S ribosomal RNA". It matches the Rfam family "Bacterial small subunit ribosomal RNA", at positions 29 to 523 of the family's 1533-position model. The record is from RNAcentral.
AACGAACGCUGGCGGCAGGCCUAACACAUGCAAGUCGAGCGCCCGGAUUUAUCCGGGAGCGGCGCACGGGUGAGUAACGCGUGGGAACAUGCCCUGAAGUACGGAAUAACCUGGGGACACCUUGGCUAAUACCGUAUACGCCCUGAGGGGGAAAGAUUUAUCGCUUUGGGAUUGGCCCGCGUUGGAUUAGCUGGUUGGUGUGGUAACGGCGCACCAAGGCGACGAUCCAUAACUGGUCUGAGAGGAUGACCAGUCACACUGGGACUGAGACACGGCCCAGACUCCUACGGGAGGCAGCAGUGGGGAAUAUUGGACAAUGGGCGAAAGCCUGAUCCAGCCAUGCCGCGUGAGUGAAGAAGGCCUUCGGGUUGUAAAGCUCUUUCAGCGGGGACGAUGAUGACGGUACCCGCAGAAGAAGCCCCGGCUAACUUCGUGCCAGCCGCCGCAGUAA